CAGUCGCCGCGGGAAUACGAAGGGUGCAAGCGUUACUCGGAAUUACUGGGCGUAAAGCGUGCGUAGGUGGUGGUUUAAGUCCGUUGUGAAAGCCCUGGGCUCAACCUGGGAAUUGCAGUGGAUACUGGGUCACUAGAGUGUGGUAGAGGAUAGUGGAAUUUCCGGUGUAGCAGUGAAAUGCGUAGAGAUCGGGAGGAACAUCUGUGGCGAAGGCGACUAUCUGGGCCAACACUGACACUGAGGCACGAAAGCGUGGGGAGCAAACAGGAUUAGAUACCCCUGUAGUCCCUGUCUCUUAUAC
Molecule: ribosomal RNA, 301 nt
Filed under: uncultured bacterium
Lineage: Bacteria
Description: partial 16S ribosomal RNA
Rfam family: Bacterial small subunit ribosomal RNA
Source: RNAcentral